Molecule: ribosomal RNA, 233 nt
Filed under: uncultured bacterium
Lineage: Bacteria
Description: partial 16S ribosomal RNA
Rfam family: Bacterial small subunit ribosomal RNA
Source: RNAcentral
CGGGUGAGUAACGCGUGAGGAACCUGCCUCAAAGAGGGGGACAACAGUUGGAAACGAUUGCUAAUACCGCAUAAGCCCACGGCUCGGCAUCGAGCAGAGGGAAAAGGAGUGAUCCGCUUUGAGAUGGCCUCGCGUCCGAUUAGCUAGUUGGUGAGGUAACGGCCCACCAAGGCGACGAUCGGUAGCCGGACUGAGAGGUUGAACGGCCACAUUGGGACUGAGACACGGCCCAG